Molecule: long non-coding RNA, 748 nt
Organism: Mauremys reevesii (Reeves's turtle)
Lineage: Eukaryota; Metazoa; Chordata; Testudines; Geoemydidae
Exons: 4
Source: RefSeq, a predicted model, not a curated record
AUCACCAAGCCUUCCUCCCUCUUCCACUGAAACUGAAUCUGUGGAUCAGCAGCAAGGAAUCAGAGCAUUUCCAGGGUCAGAUUUAACUGUGGGGGAAGGUGUUGGGCCAGUAACGUACAUGUCAAAAUCCAACCCAGCCCCAGCAGGUCUGUCCUCUCCCCAGGCAUGCUGGAUGCUGUGAUCUGAGAAGCCUGCCCCUUCUCCCAGCACUGAAAGUCAUUCAGCCCUUUCUGACCAGCUCGAAACAACGCCCGUUCCAGCUCAUCCAGCCGUGCCACCAGUGCAGAGGUGUCCUCAUUGUAGGCAUUCUGGGAGGAGUCCAUGAUGCGACGGAAACGGCCAAUAAAUGUCUAAGGGAGAGAAGCAGAAUUACCAAUGGCUAAGGGAGAUUCUUCUUGAACUCAGUCCCAGGCAUUCAGCCUGAGCCCCUCAGAGACACAGACAGUUAAGACUCUAGACUCCCCCCACUCUCUUCACAGAGAACAAUGGGCAAAGUUGCAGAAAAUAUGGAGGAGGCAGCAGCAAAGAAAAAGGAAACCAAAUCUACCAAAGGAACUAGACUUGGUUCGAAUACUUGCCUGCAGUAUAGUCUGAGCUAUCUCUGGAUUCUCUGGAUUGUCAAAAUUCAGGAGCUGGGAGCCAAAGCCAUAGUAGUAUGGCCCCAUUUUAUGCAGGUCAACCACAUUGGCAUCAGCACUGAACACUGUCCGCCAGCCUUCCUUGUAAAUCUUGGGCAGUUCCACUGAAA